UGUGAGUAAAGUGGCGUACGGGUGAGUAACACGUGGAUCAUCUACCUUCUAGUGGGGAAUACCUCUGGGAAACCGGAGAUAAUUCCGCAUAAGCUCGUGAGAGGAAAGCAGCAAUGCGCUGAAAGAGGAGUCCGCGGCCGAUUAGCUAGUUGGUGAGGUAACGGCCCACCAAGGCGACGAUCGGUAGCCGGCCUGAGAGGGCACACGGCCACACUGGCACUGAAACACGGGCCAGACUCCUACGGGAGGCAGCAGUGGGGAAUCUUGCACAAUGGAGGAAACUCUGAUGCAGCGACGCCGCGUGAGCGAUGAAGCCCCUCGGGGUGUAAAGCUCUUUCGACGGGAACGAUAAUGACGGUACCCGGAGAAGAAGCUGCGGCUAACUACGUGCCAGCAGCCACGGUAAUACGUAGGCAGCGAGCGUUAUUCGGAAUUACUGGGCGUAAAGAGUGUGUAGGCGGUGCCCUAAGUUCGGUGUGAAAUCUCCUGGCUCAACUGGGAGGGUGCGCCGGAAACUGGGGUGCUCGAGCGUGGGAGAGGAAAGCGGAAUUCCUGGUGUAGCGGUGAAAUGCGUAGACAUCAGGAGGAACACCUGCGGUGUAGACAGCUUUCUGGACCAUAGCUGACGCUGAGACACGAAAGCGUGGGUAGCAAACAGGAUUAGAUACCCUGGUAGUCCACGCCCUAAACGAUGCAUACUUGGUGUCGGCCAUUCAGUUGGUCGGUGCCGGAGCUAACGCGUUAAGUAUGC
RNAcentral lists this ribosomal RNA (751 nucleotides) under uncultured bacterium. RNAcentral describes it as "bacterial SSU rRNA". It matches the Rfam family "Bacterial small subunit ribosomal RNA", at positions 85 to 869 of the family's 1533-position model. The record is from RNAcentral.